This 233-nucleotide unclassified non-coding RNA is filed under the name Hevea brasiliensis (rubber tree). The record is from RNAcentral. Lineage: Eukaryota; Viridiplantae; Streptophyta; Magnoliopsida; Malpighiales; Euphorbiaceae.
GAAAAAAAAAAAAAAAAAAGGCUUCAUCUCUGAACUUUGAGAAUGGUUUCAUCAUUGUCCCUUAAGUUCAAUUAUCACAAAAAUAUUCAAACUUUAAUAUCAACAUACGACAUUGAGUCUAGAAGUUAAUAGACAAAAAAAUAAAAUAUAAAAAAUUAAAAUCAACAUAGGCAUAAAAUCUAGAGGUUGAUAGACAGAAAAGUAAAUUGUAAAAAUUUAAAAUCAAUAUACGA